Molecule: long non-coding RNA, 627 nt
Filed under: Mus musculus (house mouse)
Lineage: Eukaryota; Metazoa; Chordata; Mammalia; Rodentia; Muridae
Description: predicted gene, 34611
Source: RNAcentral
AGUCUUGUGAAAACAAACAGCCCUGAAGCCUGCUCACCUCUUCCUCGUGGGCUGCAGCUAAGCUUUCAGCAGGGCCUGAACGGCAUCCAGGAUCGCUGACGGCCUUGCUGAGGGAGGCCAGGCACCUUGAGUUCUGAUUGCAACACAUCCAUUCCGACUUGCAUCACCUGUGCCUGUGGACCCUAUACAAAUUCCCGGAGCACAGGAGAUGGUUAGAACAGCGCUGGGCAGGUAAAGUCUCCAGGGUUUGGUUUUAUUGAAACAGCAUCAAGCACCAAGACAUGGAAGAAACAUCAAACAUUCUAAAAUGAAAGUGUAUUUACCACAUUCCCAAAAGACACUGUUUAUCAGAGUUGGGAGGAAAGAAACUGUCAGUACGUCCCUGUUUCCUUUCCCUAAGAAUCCCGAAAUCCUGAAGCCCGGAACAAGCUGUCUGAAUUGCUACCCAGUUCAUGCCUGAUAUGAAACCCUAAGCUGCUGAUUCUCUGUGUUCAGUUUGUUUUUUUGCAUCUUCCCACUUGAUCAUGUGGACAUCCAAAGAGAAAUGUGUGAAAUGUUUUCUCUUCUCUGUUUGUUCCACACUGAUUCUUGAAAUUGAUUCUUCAGGCAAAAAAAAAAAUAAAAAAA